Molecule: transfer RNA, 17 nt
Filed under: Odorrana margaretae (green odorous frog)
Lineage: Eukaryota; Metazoa; Chordata; Amphibia; Anura; Ranidae
Also listed under: 3 other names
Description: partial tRNA-Trp
Source: RNAcentral
AGAAACUUAGGCUAGUA